Molecule: ribosomal RNA, 468 nt
Filed under: uncultured bacterium
Lineage: Bacteria
Description: partial 16S ribosomal RNA
Rfam family: Bacterial small subunit ribosomal RNA
Source: RNAcentral
GACGAACGCUGGCGGCGUGCUUAACACAUGCAAGUCGAACGGAAAGGCCCUGCUUUUGUGGGGUGCUCGAUUGGCGAACGGGUGAGUAACACGUGAGUAACCUGCCCUUGACUUUGGGAUAACUUCAGGAAACUGGGGCUAAUAUCGGAUAGGAGCUCCUGCUGCAUGGUGGGGGUUGGAAAGUUUCGGCGGUUGGGGAUGGACUCGAGGCUUAUCAGCUUGUUGGUGGGGUAGUGGCUUACCAAGGCUUUGAAGGGUAGCCGGCCUGAGAGGGUGACCGGCGACAUUGGGACUGAGAUACGGCCCAGACUCCUACGGGAGGCAGCAGUGGGGAAUAUUGCACAAUGGGCGGAAGCCUGAUGCAGCAACGCCGCGUGCGGGAUGACGGCCUUCGGGUUGUAAACCAAUUUCGCCUGUGACGAAGCGUGAGUGACGGUAAUGGGUAAAGAAGCAACGGCUAACUACGUG